AACGAACACAGUUGUUAUAGCUAAAAGAUGCUGCGUAGCGUUUUGUUUGAACUAUAGCAGGAGAAAACCACCACAUUAAGUUUCAUCAACUGGCCAAGGACCAGGUUAGAUGAACCUCAUGUUUUCAUACUAUACACCGUAAAGUUGGAAAGCUGUGGACUCCGGUUAUUAACGUUACUCGAUGCAUUUGUGUGUUCGAAGCACUUCAUUCACUGUACAUCGUUAGCUAACACUUGUGUGUUUUUAACUAGUUAUGUGUAGUACCUGUGUAAACCUGGAGAUUCAACCAAGUAGAUGUAGCCAUAGGGCCAUUUGGAAGGGUUGUCUGCACAGGAUCGACAAAGACUGGAAGUAGUUACGCACCAAAUCUAAAACUAGCGAAUUAGAUCCGAGAUGAAUUUCUCUCUCUAGCAAGCCAACGAACGUCAGUCAACCGGCGAAAAAGCUAGGAGUAAACAGCGACGCAGUUUUAAGAACAAAUUGUUAUUUACAAUGACGGCCAAACCCGGAUGACGCUGGGCCAAUUGGCCGGGGUCUUGUCAUCCCUCCUGCCCAUCAUAAUCACGUACUGUCGCAGCUCCGUGCAGAGUGGACAUCACUCAUCCUUCUAGCUAGCAGGCACACGGACAGUUCAUCAGUGGGCAUGGCAGUUAUUGAGUUUUUGAGGCAAGUCAGUUAAGAACAGUUUGGGGGCUCCCGAGUGACGCAGCGGUCUACCCCGGCCUAACCCGGACGACGCUGGGCCAAUUGUGCGCCGCCCUAUGAUACUCCAAACACAACCGGUUGUGAUACAGCCUGCAAUCGAAC
This 807-nucleotide long non-coding RNA is filed under the name Salmo salar (Atlantic salmon). RNAcentral's name for it is "lncRNA (ENSSSAG00000083342.1)". Lineage: Eukaryota; Metazoa; Chordata; Actinopteri; Salmoniformes; Salmonidae. The record is from RNAcentral.